This 207-nucleotide ribosomal RNA is filed under the name uncultured bacterium. RNAcentral's name for it is "partial 16S ribosomal RNA". It matches the Rfam family "Bacterial small subunit ribosomal RNA", at positions 568 to 774 of the family's 1533-position model. The record is from RNAcentral.
UGCGCAGGCGGCUAGAUGUGUUAGGUGUGAAAUACCGGGGCUUAACUCCGGAACUGCGCCUAAAACUGUCUAGCUAGAGACUCGGAGAGGUAAGCGGAAUUCCAGGUGUAGCGGUGAAAUGCGUAGAUAUCUGGAGGAACACCAAAGGCGAAGGCAGCUUACUGGACGAGAUCUGACGCUCAGGCACGAAGGCGUGGGUAGUGAAAG